This 520-nucleotide ribosomal RNA is filed under the name Yarrowia parophoni. Its description in RNAcentral is "Yarrowia parophonii partial large subunit ribosomal RNA". It matches the Rfam family "Eukaryotic large subunit ribosomal RNA", at positions 49 to 655 of the family's 3401-position model. The record is from RNAcentral. Lineage: Eukaryota; Fungi; Ascomycota; Dipodascomycetes; Dipodascales.
AGCGGAGGAAAAGAAACCAACAGGGAUUGCCUCAGUAACGGCGAGUGAAGCGGCAAAAGCUCAAAUUUGAAACCUUCGGGAUUGUAAUUUGAAGAUUUGGCAUUGGAGAAAGCUAACCCAAGUUACUUGGAAUAGUACGUCAUAGAGGGUGACAACCCCGUCUGGCUAACCGUUCUCCAUGUAUUGCCUUAUCAAAGAGUCGAGUUGUUUGGGAAUGCAGCUCAAAGUGGGUGGUAAACUCCAUCUAAAGCUAAAUACUGGUGAGAGACCGAUAGCGAACAAGUACUGUGAAGGAAAGGUGAAAAGAACUUUGAAAAGAGAGUGAAAUAGUAUGUGAAAUUGUUGAUAGGGAAGGAAAUGAGCGGAGAGUGGUUGAGGUUUCAGCGCACCCUUGGGUGCGUGUAUUGCCGACGCCGAGUCAUUGACAGCGAGACGGGGGCUACAAACAGGUUGCUCUUGAGCUUCCCACCUAUCCCCCCCACUGCCGCCAACGACAUAAUCCGCCCAUUUCACCCGUCUU